Molecule: ribosomal RNA, 301 nt
Filed under: uncultured bacterium
Lineage: Bacteria
Description: partial 16S ribosomal RNA
Rfam family: Bacterial small subunit ribosomal RNA
Source: RNAcentral
CAGCCGCCGCGGUAACACGGAGGGUGCAAGCGUUAAUCGGAAUUACUGGGCGUAAAGCGCACGCAGGCGGUCUGUCAAGUCAGAUGUGAAAUCCCUGGGCUUAACCUGGGAACUGCAUUUGAAACUGUCAGGCUGGAGUCUUGUAGAGGGGGGUGGAAUUCCAGGUGUAGCGGUGAAAUGCGUAGAGAUCUGGAGGAAUACCGGUGGCGAAGGCGGCCCCCUGGACAAAGACUGACGCUCAGGUGCGAAAGCGUGGGGAGCAAACAGGAUUAGAUACCCGUGUAGUCCCUGUCUCUUAUAC